GGCGGAAUAGCUCAGUUGGCCAGAGCACUCGGUUCAUACCCGGGGUGUCGAGAGUUCGAAUCUCCCUUCCGCUA
This 74-nucleotide transfer RNA is filed under the name Stomatobaculum sp. Its description in RNAcentral is "tRNA-Met". It matches the Rfam family "tRNA". Rfam says of the family: Transfer RNA (tRNA) molecules are approximately 80 nucleotides in length. Their secondary structure includes four short double-helical elements and three loops (D, anti-codon, and T loops). Lineage: Bacteria; Bacillati; Bacillota; Clostridia; Lachnospirales; Lachnospiraceae. RNAcentral also lists the same sequence under 1 other name. The record is from RNAcentral.